AUUAAAAACCAAUGCCCUUCGGGGCUCCUUGGUGAUUCAUGAUAACUUCGCGAAUCGCAUGGCCUUGCGCCGGCGAUGGUUCAUUCAAAUUUCUUCCCUAUCAACUUUCGAUGUUAGGGUAUUGGCCAAACAUGGCUGCAACGGGUAACGGAGGGUUAGGGCUCGACCCCGGAGAAGGAGCCUGAGAAACGGCUACUACAUCCAAGGAAGGCAGCAGGCGCGCAAAUUACCCAAUCCCGACACGGGGAGGUAGUGACAAUAAAUACUGAUACAGGGCUCUUUAGGGUCUUGUAAUUGGAAUGAGUACAAUUUAAAUCCCUUAACGAGGAACAAUUGGAGGGCAAGUCUGGUGCCAGCAGCCGCGGUAAUUCCAGCUCCAAUAGCGUAUAUUAAAGUUGUUGUGGUUAAAAAGCUCGUAGUUGAACCUUGGGCCUGGCUGGCCGGUCCGCCUCACCGCGUGCACUGGUCCGGCCGGGCCUUUCCCUCUGUGGAACCCCAUGCCCUUCACUGGGCGUGGC
RNAcentral lists this ribosomal RNA (518 nucleotides) under uncultured fungus. RNAcentral's name for it is "SSU rRNA". It matches the Rfam family "Eukaryotic small subunit ribosomal RNA", at positions 214 to 732 of the family's 1831-position model. The record is from RNAcentral. Lineage: Eukaryota; Fungi.